Molecule: long non-coding RNA, 349 nt
Organism: Bos taurus (domestic cattle)
Lineage: Eukaryota; Metazoa; Chordata; Mammalia; Artiodactyla; Bovidae
Source: Ensembl
GGGAGGAAAAAAGUGCUGCGAGAUGUAGGCUUUGAAUUACUGGAUUGUCGGGAAGACGGCAAAAGGAGGAGAGGGGAGAGGAAAAGGAAAGAGAACGAGAGAAGUGUCCUUGCCCAGCCUUAGGGUUUUCUCCAAUGAGUCAGUUCUUCACAUCAGGUGGCCAAAGCAUUGAUGGCCAAUCUGACCUGUGUCCCUAUAAAAAGAAGAAAAUACCCACAAGAGGAGCCACCUAGAGCAUCUGUGCACAGAAAGAAAAGACCAUGAGAGGAUGGCCAUCCACAAGCCAGGGAGAGGCCUCCGUGGGAACAGCCCAGCACCCUGCUGGCGUCUUGACCUUGGACUUCCUGCC